This 449-nucleotide ribosomal RNA is filed under the name uncultured bacterium. RNAcentral's name for it is "partial 16S ribosomal RNA". It matches the Rfam family "Bacterial small subunit ribosomal RNA", at positions 329 to 794 of the family's 1533-position model. The record is from RNAcentral.
UUCCAGACUCCUACGGGAGGCAGCAGUGGGGGAUAUUGCACAAUGGGGGAAACCCUGAUGCAGCGACGCCGCGUGGGUGAAGGAGCGUUUCGGCGCGUAAAGCCCUAUCGGCAGGGAAGAAGGAGGACGGGACCUGACUAAGAAGCCCCGGCUAACUACGUGCCAGCAGCCGCGGUAAUACGUAGGGGGAAAGCGUUAUCCGGAUUUACUGGGUGUAAAGGGAGCGUAGACGGCAGUGCAAGUCUGGAGUGAAAGGCGGGGGCUCAACCCCCGGACUGCUCUGGAAACUGUACGGCUGGAGUGCAGGAGAGGUAAGUGGAAUUCCUAGUGUAGCGGUGAAAUGCGUAGAUAUUAGGAGGAACACCAGUGGCGAAGGCGGCUUACUGGACUGUAACUGACGUUGAGGCUCGAAAGCGUGGGGAGCAAACAGGAUUAGAUACCCCAGUAAC